Molecule: RNA transcript, 8047 nt
Organism: Acanthochromis polyacanthus (spiny chromis)
Lineage: Eukaryota; Metazoa; Chordata; Actinopteri; Pomacentridae
Gene: zfyve9a
Gene name: zinc finger, FYVE domain containing 9a
Exons: 20
Source: RefSeq, a predicted model, not a curated record
UAGCUGCAGGUUUCCGCCGCGGACACCGACUUUCCGCGGCUCCUUAUUUUCCAGCAGUAAGCCCUGGAGGAGGAGGGAUCACGGACUACGGCAGACUACGGGCUAUACUUUCAGACUUGUGCUGUGUGAGUGAGGCGGGCGGAGGGUCCACGCCAGGAGACCGAAAAUAGCCCCGAAAGACGAUCCAGGAAUGACGGCCGCUACCGGAGGAGCUCCGCGGCACCGUACGUGAAGAUGAGGAUUCCUCCGGUGUGGGCGCUGGGCGCUUGCCAGACUGGGUGAAGUGAGAACUAAGAGGGAAAUCCACUGAGAACAAACCACCACCGGGGACUGCUGAGGAGGACCUCUGUGCAGGUUCACGCGGCCGUCGGCAGGGUGGAGCUUCCUGACCCAUGGAGAAUUACUUCCAGGCCGAGGCCUUCAACCUGGACAAGGUGCUGGACGAGUUCGAGCAGAACGAAGAUGAGACGGACACUCCCAUCCUCUCGGAUGCGAAGUGGACCCAGAUCCUGGCCCCUCCAGCCCACAUGCUGUCUCUGAACCCCGCCCUGGCCCACGCAGACCUCAGCCCCCGGGAGAGCCCCCUGCCCUUCAAGACCCUCCCCGACUCGUCCUCCAGCGCCUCUCCGGGAGCCGACCCCAAAAGACACCCCGGCCCCGAGCCUCCGUCCUGGGCAGAGGAGAGGCCGGCGGACGUCCACAGCCCCCCGCUGCCCCAGCCCAACAUCGGCAAGCUGGUGGGCACCGACGACCUCUCACCGCCCGCUGUGGAGAACGGCUGCCCGGCCAGCCCACAACCAGACGGGCUCAGCAGAGAGCCCGGUUCUGGAGCAGACGUCCAGCCUGGAGCUUCUGACCAGGAGGCUCAACAUGAGGAGAUCGCUGCUUCAGCCGGAGGAGGAGGACACGCUCUGUCUCACACUCACUUCACUUUUGAGGUGGGAUUAGGACAGGAGCAAGCAGAGAAAAUCCAUCCAGAUGUGGAGCAUAAAAUCCGUGCAGAUGUGGAGCAUAAAAUCCAUCCAGAUGUGGAGCAUUCGGCACAGAAUGGAGAAGGCCUUAAAGAUGAGAGCUGUUCAGAUGUUCUACAGGACUUUGGUUCAGAAAGGCAAACUGCAGACUCACAAGAGGAACAGAGAGAAAGUGUGAAUGUGGAGAAGGAGGAGCUGGAGGAGAACGGUGUGUCUCCUCCUGAGGACAAGGAACGGAGCUGUGGUCCAGAGGGACAAACAGACCAACUCCUCCUCAGAAUACCGAGCCUUCCCAACGGUUUGGAGCAGGAGAGCAGCUCCAAGCCGAAGGAGACGGAAGAGAAGGACGAGGAGGAGGAGGAGGAGGGCUUUUCUCCUUCUCCUGUCCCCUCCAAAGAGGACUCUGUGACUGAGGAGAAGGAGAUGGAGGAGAGCAAACAGGAGAGCGGCGAUGGAGGAGCAGGAGGGUCGGGGAACGUCCAACCAAAGCUCAACAACCGGCUGCAGCCCGUCAGCGUCCCGUACGGAGGGGCGCGACCCAAGCAGCCGGUCAGCCUCAAGCUCCAGAUCCCUCAGCCGCUGUCGGGCCAGGUCCAGAACCAGCUGGGCCCGUCUGCCGUCAGCAAGAACAAGAACCUGGAGAACCAGAGUCGGAGAGGGACUCCCUCUGAGACGCCGCCCAGCGGGCCGGACCAGAGCACGGUGGGCGUGAACGGAGACGGAGCCGUUCACUGUCCUGCCCCGAUGCCCUCAGAGAGCCCAGACAACGACCUCCAGGCCGGCCAGCAGGGCGCUCUGGGCAGGAAACCGGCCAGCUCCCUGGGAGAAGUGGCCCCUGUGUGGGUCCCUGACUCCCAGGCUCCCGUCUGCAUGAAAUGCGACGUCAAGUUCACCUUCACCAAGAGGAGGCACCACUGCAGGGCCUGCGGGAAGGUGUUCUGUGCGGCGUGCUGCAGCCUGAAGUGUCGGCUGGUGUACAUGGACAGGAAGGAGGCUCGAGUUUGUGUCACCUGUCACUCUGCUCUCACUAACGCUCAAUCAUGGGAGACGCCGUCCACUGCGAGCAAUCAGAGUCCGAACCCCAACAACCCGGCCGAGUACUGCUCCACCAUCCCUCCCCUGCAGCAGGCCCAGGCCUCUGGGGUGCUCAGCUCGCCUCCUCCCACCGUCAUGGUGCCUGUAGGAGUCCUGAAACAACCCGGCAAUGAGGCGUCGAUCUCUCGGGAGCAGAGGAGGGUUUGGUUUGCUGAUGGAGUUCUACCAAACGGAGACGCAGCAGAAUCGCCCAAACCUGCGACCUCCAGCGCCGGCCCCUCUCAGUCGCUCGCCAUCUCCACGUAUUCCAAUAAAUCCUCCUCUUCUGAGGCCUCAGAGGCGGCCCAUCCUCCUGUUGCCCCGGUGGGCAGCCCCGUGGGCAGCUCCCUCAGCCUGAUCCCGGAGGACGGACUCCCUCCCAUCCUCAUCUCCACCGGAGUCAAAGGAGGUACGGGAGGCCACAUCACAGAUUAUGCGGUGGAGGAGAGGCCGUCUGAGAUCGUCCUGAUGCAGCAGCUGGAGGAAGGAGGUCCAGACCCGCUGGUGUUUGUGCUCAACGCCAACCUGCUGGCCAUGGUCAAGCUGGUCAACUACGUAAACAGGAAGUGCUGGUACGUGACGACGAAGGGCAUGCACGCUGUCGGCCAGGCGGAGGUCGUCAUCCUGCUCCAGUGUCUCCCAGACGAGAAGACCGUUCCCAAAGACAUCUUCACCCACUUCGUGCAGCUCUACCAGGAGGCCCUCAGUGGUAACGUGCUGGGCCACCUGAGUCACUCGUUCUUCACGCAGAGCUUCCUGGGCAGUAAGGAGCACGGCGGCUUCCUCUACAUCAGCCCCUCCUUCCAGUCGCUGCAGGACCUGCUGCUGCCCAACCCGCCCUACCUCUUCGGCAUCCUCAUCCAGAAGUGGGAGACUCCCUGGGCCAAGGUCUUCCCCAUCCGCCUCAUGCUACGACUGGGAGCAGAGUACCGAUUUUAUCCAUGUCCACUGUUCAGCGUUCGCUUCAGGAAACCUCUUUUCGGAGAGACAGGUCACACUAUCAUGAAUCUGCUUGCUGACUUCCGUAACUACCAGUACACGCUGCCGGUGGUGAAAGGUCUGGUUGUGGACAUGGAGGUGAGGAAGACGAGCAUCAAGAUCCCCAGUAAUCGCUACAACGAGCUGAUGAAGGCCAUGAACAAGUCCAACGAACACGUGCUCGCCAUGGGGGCGUGUUUCAACGACCGCGCUGACUCCCACUUGGUGUGCGUCCAGAACGACGACGGGAACUACCAGACGCAGGCCAUCAGCAUCCAUCACCAGCCUCGCAAAGUUACCGGAGCCUGCUUCUUUGUGUUCAGUGGUGCUUUGAAAGCCUCGUCCGGCUUCUUGGCCAAGACCAGCAUCGUGGAAGACGGAGUCAUGAUCCAGAUCACGGCUGAGACCAUGGACUCUCUACGGCAAGCCCUGAGGGACAUGAAGGACUUCACCAUCACGUGUGGGAAAGCCGACCAGGAGGAGAACCAGGAGCUGGUCCACAUCCAGUGGACGGAGGACGACCACAACUUCAACAAGGGCGUCAUCAGCCCGAUUGAUGGGAAGUCCAUGGAGUCCAUCACCAGCGUCAAGAUCUUCCACGGUUCAGAGUUCAAAGCUAACGGCAAAGUCAUCCGCUGGACCGAGGUUUUCUUCCUCCAGAGUGAAGACCAGCCCAACGGUCUCAGCGACCCGGCCGACCACAGCCGUCUGACAGAGAACGUGGCGAGAGCGUUCUGCAUGGCUCUGUGUCCUCACCUGAAGCUGCUGAAGGAGGACGGCAUGGCCAAGCUGGGGCUGAGGGUCACGCUGGACUCAGACCAGGUGGGUUACCUGGCAGGAAGUAACGGUCAGCCUCUCCUGCCUCAGUACCUGAGCGACCUGGACAGCGCUCUGAUCCCCGUCAUCCACGGCGGGGCCUGUCAGCUGAGCGAGGGCCCGGUGGUCAUGGAGCUGGUCUUCUACAUCCUGGAGAUCAUCUCGUAGGACCUGGAGACGCCCCGCCUACCCGCAGCCUUCACCUCCAGGCUUUUUAUAACCUUCAGAUGUCAUCUCCAUCGUCUCCCUCCCAAACCGUUUGCACUUCAGAAAAGCCCGAUAACUGUGGCGUGCCGGGCGGGGUAGCAUUCCUCCUUCAAACCUAUGCAUCGCCCACCGUCUGCUCGGCUCCAGAGGCCGUCAGGAAGCUCACCUGAGACCUCAGCUGUCAGGUGAUGUCCGGUCAUCUCCACAGAUCUGUCAGCGUCUGUCCUGAUCCCCACACCGUCAGCGAUGAGCAGAUAACGCAGAACAGCCUGAGAUGAGGAGAAAAACCCACAUUUAGGAGGAUAGAAAAGCUAAUUCUGUCGUAGCAGAUAAAUAUGUUAUUGCUGCAAGUUUCCGUCUGAUGAAAUACUGAAGUGAGGUUUGGAUUUUAUUUCAGACGACUGACAGAGUGAUUUUUUUUUCCGUCAGGUCGGUCAGUCAGGUGGUGAUUUGUGGAUUCACUUCUUGUGUUUGUCGAGUGUCUCAGAGCAGCUCAGAUGAUAUUCAGGACAUUAAUGAAGUAUGAAGGGAAACAGAACCGUGAUUUGUGUAAACACAGCGGUCGGACGAGCUGUGAACUCAAAAAACUAGAAGAACUGCAUUUUCUCUGUGAGGUUACAAAGAGGCCAGUUUGUAUAGAGAGAAUAUGCUCUCCUGCACCGUUAAUAUUCCUGCAGGGAUGACAUCAGAAAAAACAUCAACCAAAAUCCAGCAAAAUUCACUGGAUUCUGGUUGAUUUUUUUCUUAAUGUUCUUAAAGAAAAUAUUAAAAGUUUUACUGAUAUAUAUAUAUAUAUAUAUAUAUAUAUAUGUAUGUGUGUGUGUGUGUGUGUGUGUGUAUAUAUGUGUGUGUGUAAUCAUGUUGCAUAUUUUUAGGAUUUUUUUUGGGAAGAUUUUUACUCAUUUUUUGAUAUGUACACGAAUUUUCUUGCCAAAUUUAGGGAUUUUUUUAAAAAAAAUCAAACUUUUCAAGGAAAUUUUUAAGGAAUUAGUGGAAUUUUCUUUCUGAAGGUUUUUGCAAAUUCUCUGAAUUUUGGGGAAUUUUUUUGCUGAUUUUUUUAAUGUUUUUUUUUGGUGUCCAUAAAUGAAGACAACAGGAGGGUUAAAGGGUCUGCAUGAGCUGCUGUGGACUCUGAUUGGAGGAGAGUCACUUCCUUCAUUUAGAUGCAGGAAGUUUUUUUCAUCUUCUGGAGUGGACCGUCUGUAGGGCCGCUUUUGGCCCGCGGACUGCAUGUUGGACACCUGCUGUAAAUAAAGAGAGUAGGAAGUUGUUCUUUCAGUGUUUUUCUGAGUCAAACUUUACUCUGAUGUGGUUCAGGCUGACUUCUGGUCCCGGUGUGGCCGUUUAGGACGGAGCUUCUUUUUCUGAGACACUCGAUAAAUGCAGGUUCUGACCUCAGGUUCAGGUCCGACGGACUGCAGGUUUGUGGGUAUCUGGACAGAGCUGGUGUCUAAUGUAGCUCCAGCGUCACUGUGGAGGUCCUGAAGCACUGAACUCUGGGUAAAAAAAAAAGCCCGCCUCUGUGUAGCACGGACGCCACUCCGAGGGAGACUCAUCCACCUGUGAAAAGUUCAGACCUUUCCUUAGAAGUUUAGAAAGGGAAGAGAGGAGGGAGGAGGUUAGUUUUAUUUGCACCGUGGUGCUCAGUGCCUGCAGCAGCGAUUCAUCAACGGAGAGAAGAUUAAAAAAAACAAAACACUCAUCUGGGUUUCACUUCUUAAGCUUUACUUCACUGACUCUCUGUACAGGUUUUUGUAGGCGGAAGGAUUCCUGCUCCAUCUGUAGCCUCCGGAGAUCCCAGAAUUCCUGAAGGACCGUCCUCGCUCUGUCAGAUAGGAUCACCCGCUACUCUGACGUCAAAACGCCCUGAUUUAAAAAAGACGCAGUGCACUGGAUUCUAAGCCAUUUAGAGGAGAGUUAAAGCGAGCGUCCUGGAGAACGUCGGUGGUUUGUUCCUGCAGAACCAGAAGCUGAAUGUAUUUCAUCUCGCAUCGUCUGCAUCCUUCCAAAGCCCCCGAAAUCUUUAAACUCUUUAAAACUCUGCAGACCUGAACAGGAACCCAACGCGUUGAUUCCAGACGGAGCUGGACCGGACGAUCCUUCACAAACAUGGACCUGUAGAAUUAAAAAAAUGAAGAAGAAAAUCUAAGAAUGUAUUUCUCGUUUCUGUUCAAAUCUGCAAAAUGUGCUUUUGUUUCCAGACUAAUCACCAAAAACCCCGUCAUGUGGACUGUACAGUAACCGUCUUUAACCGUGUCAUGAGACCAGAAGGGGCUACUGACCAGAGAAAAAACAAAAAACUAUCUCAUCAAAAAGUCAGAAUCAGACAAUCACAGGAAAAUCUGCAGAAGAGCCGACGCUUAGUGCGAAUUAGACCCUGUAGCUGUUCUGUUCAUCGCUCAGUCUGAAGUAUUUUAGAAGCUCCUGUAGCAAAGAAACGUUAAAGACCCAACGAGAGGUCGAGGGCCGCCGCCAACGGGUUAAUUUACUGUGAUCUACCAGAGGUGGCGCCGCCCCAAUCACUGUGUCUUCACUGUUCCUCAGCCUGUUCUCAAAAAUUAUCAGUAGGGAUGUCUGAUGUCUUUUUAACUGAUAACUGAUAACUGAUAUGCCGAUAUCGUCCAAAUCUCAAUUUCCAAUUCCGAUAUCAACCGAUCCCGAUAUCUGUGGGUUAUUUAGCUAAUUCUAGGUAACAUCUCAUAUCUCCUGUGGUGGAAUUAACACAUCGUUCCUCAUUUUAUUGUGAUGCCCCAUUGGAUGCAUUCUCAGAUGAAACGAGGCUUUCAGAUGGAAACAUUAUCUGUAAAAUAAGAAAACUACUUCAACUGAAGUUAUGGAAAAAAUGACAUAUUUAUGACAUUUUAUUAUUUUUUUUUAUUGUCUCAAACAACAGUUCACACUCUCCCUCCCUCCCUCUAUGAGUCUUUUACAUAAAUCCAGGCAUUAUUUUAUCAGUUUUCUUGAUAGGCAAAAAAAAAAAAAUGAUAUUGACCGAUAUUACAUUUUUAUGCCAGUAUCGGGCCGAUAUUAUUAAUGGGCUGAUAUUAUCAGACAUUAGUAAUCCUCAUGCUUUCUCUUCAUGAUGCUUAUAAUGAAGGAUGUCUGAUAAUAUCGGCCCACUGAUACUAUUGGUCCGAUAUCGGCAUAAAAAUGUAAUAUCGGUCAAUAUUGUUAUUGUUUUUUGCCUAUCAUAAAAAAUGAUAAAAUAAUGCCUGGAUUUACCGACUCAUAGAGAGAGGGAGAAUGUGAACUGUAUUUGAGACAAUUAAAAAAAAAAGGCAUAAAUGUAUUUUUUUCCAUAACUUUAGUUGAAAUGGUUUUAUUUUGCACAGACAAUAUUUCCAUCUGAAAGCCUUGUUUCAUCUGAGAAUGCAUCCAAUGGAGCAUCACAAUAAAAUGAGGCAUGAUGUGUUAAUUCCACCACAGGAGAUAUGAGAUGUUACCUAGAAUUAGUUAAAUAACCCACAAAUAUUGGUAUCGAUUGUUAUCGGAAUCGGAAAUUGAGAGUUGGACGAUAUCGGUUAUCGGCAGAAAAGACAAUAUUAGACAUACCUCGCGAGGAUUUGUUUUUAUUUUUCUGUUUUUUCUGUUCCGUUUUAUUUUUUUGGCAUUAUCUGACGUGUGCAAUAUGUCCUAAGUCCAAAAAAAGGUGCAAUUUGUUUGGGGAGAUAAAAAAGUAGCAUUUGUUUUGUAUUCAGUUGUAAAAUGUUCUGAAUCCAAACUAUAACUCUGCAUGCAAACAGAAACGGUGAGAGAGCGACUCAACUCUGCAUUUUAACAGUUAAAUAUCCUGGAAACAAAAAAACACUCAUUCAGUUCUGUCUUUAAUGGGAUUUGUUCAUUAUUUUUUCUUUUUAAAAAAUAAAUAUUAGUCAAAAACGUUUGAAAAGCCAAAAAUAUUUUUUCUUUACUCUUCAAAUGUCAAGAAAAGUGGUCUUUAUCAAAUGAGAAAAACAAAAACCUGUAGUAUAUGUAAAAUAAAAACUUAUAGAAAACUGAAA